GCGCCGGUGGUGUAAGGCGAACAUCGCUGCCCGGAAAGCAGCAGAUGCGGGUUCGAGUCCCGCCUGGCGCA
This is a non-coding RNA of Heligmosomoides polygyrus, 71 nucleotides long. The record is from Rfam. NCBI's taxonomy places the organism in Eukaryota, Metazoa, Nematoda, Chromadorea, Rhabditida, Heligmosomidae.